RNAcentral lists this ribosomal RNA (747 nucleotides) under Lactococcus lactis. Its description in RNAcentral is "bacterial SSU rRNA". It matches the Rfam family "Bacterial small subunit ribosomal RNA", at positions 77 to 810 of the family's 1533-position model. Lineage: Bacteria; Bacillati; Bacillota; Bacilli; Lactobacillales; Streptococcaceae. The record is from RNAcentral.
UACUUGUACCGACUGGAUGAGCAGCGAACGGGUGAGUAACGCGUGGGGAAUCUGCCUUUGAGCGGGGGACAACAUUUGGAAACGAAUGCUAAUACCGCAUAAAAACUUUAAACACAAGUUUUAAGUUUGAAAGAUGCAAUUGCAUCACUCAAAGAUGAUCCCGCGUUGUAUUAGCUAGUUGGUGAGGUAAAGGCUCACCAAGGCGAUGAUACAUAGCCGACCUGAGAGGGUGAUCGGCCACAUUGGGACUGAGACACGGCCCAAACUCCUACGGGAGGCAGCAGUAGGGAAUCUUCGGCAAUGGACGAAAGUCUGACCGAGCAACGCCGCGUGAGUGAAGAAGGUUUUCGGAUCGUAAAACUCUGUUGGUAGAGAAGAACGUUGGUGAGAGUGGAAAGCUCAUCAAGUGACGGUAACUACCCAGAAAGGGACGGCUAACUACGUGCCAGCAGCCGCGGUAAUACGUAGGUCCCGAGCGUUGUCCGGAUUUAUUGGGCGUAAAGCGAGCGCAGGUGGUUUAUUAAGUCUGGUGUAAAAGGCAGUGGCUCAACCAUUGUAUGCAUUGGAAACUGGUAGACUUGAGUGCAGGAGAGGAGAGUGGAAUUCCAUGUGUAGCGGUGAAAUGCGUAGAUAUAUGGAGGAACACCGGUGGCGAAAGCGGCUCUCUGGCCUGUAACUGACACUGAGGCUCGAAAGCGUGGGGAGCAAACAGGAUUAGAUACCCUGGUAGUCCACGCCGUAAACGAU